GAUGAACGCUGACAGAAUGCUUAACACAUGCAAGUCCACUUGAACCUCGGUUUGGGUGGCGGACGGGUGAGUAACGCGUAAAGAACUUGCCUCACAGCUAGGGACAACAUUUGGAAACGAAUGCUAAUACCUGAUAUUAUGAUUAUAUGGCAUCGUAUAAUUAUGAAAGCUAUAUGCGCUGUGAGAGAGCUUUGCGUCCCAUUAGCUAGUUGGAGAGGUAACAGCUCACCAAGGCGAUGAUGGGUAGCCGGCCUGAGAGGGUGAUCGGCCACAAGGGGACUGAGACACGGCCCUUACUCCUACGGGAGGCAGCAGUGGGGAAUAUUGGACAAUGGACCGAGAGUCUGAUCCAGCAAUUCUGUGUGCACGAUGAAGUUUUUCGGAAUGUAAAGUGCUUUCAGUUGGGAAGAAAAAAAUGACGGUACCAACAGAAGAAGUGACGGCUAAAUACGUG
This 454-nucleotide ribosomal RNA is filed under the name uncultured bacterium. RNAcentral's name for it is "partial 16S ribosomal RNA". It matches the Rfam family "Bacterial small subunit ribosomal RNA", at positions 28 to 507 of the family's 1533-position model. The record is from RNAcentral.